Molecule: ribosomal RNA, 501 nt
Filed under: uncultured bacterium
Lineage: Bacteria
Description: bacterial SSU rRNA
Rfam family: Bacterial small subunit ribosomal RNA
Source: RNAcentral
GAUGAACGCUAGCGGCAGGCUUAACACAUGCAAGUCGAGGGGCAGCGCGAUGUAGCAAUACAUUGGCGGCGACCGGCGCACGGGUGCGUAACACGUAUGGAACUUACCCUUUACUGGGAGAUAGCCCGGAGAAAUCCGGAUUAAUAUCCCAUAAUAAACGAAGUGGCAUCACUUUGUUUUGAAAGCUCCGGCGGUAAAGGAUGGCCAUGCGCACGAUUAGCUAGUAGGUGAGGUAACGGCUCACCUAGGCUACGAUCGUUAGGGGACCUGAGAGGGUUAUCCCCCACACUGGUACUGAGACACGGACCAGACUCCUACGGGAGGCAGCAGUGAGGAAUAUUGCGCAAUGGAGGCAACUCUGACGCAGCCAUGCCGCGUGCAGGAAGAAGGCGCUACGCGUUGUAAACUGCUUUUUAAACCGGGAAGAAACCCUCCGACGUAUCGGAGGUUGACGGUACCGGAGGAAUAAGCACCGGCUAACUUCGUGCCAGCAGCCGCGGU